Long non-coding RNA from Onthophagus taurus, 377 nucleotides. RefSeq lists it as uncharacterized. Lineage: Eukaryota; Metazoa; Arthropoda; Insecta; Coleoptera; Scarabaeidae. The record is from RefSeq and is a predicted model, not a curated record.
GGAGGAACAUUGUGCGCUCUAUAUAAGCUGCGCAAGCUCAAAUGAUCAUACUUGGUGCUUCAGUGUUGAUUAGUAAGUUCAGGAUGCCUUCUCCGUGUGAUAGCUGCAAAGACACUUGUGGUCAAGGAGGAAAUUGUGGGUCUGAUUGCAAAUGUGGUCCUAAUUGUAAAUGUUCAGCAUCAUCAGGAAAAACUUGUGGAUGUUCAACUGGGGCUGCUAAAUAAAAUAAUCAAAAACAUCAUGGAUUAUAUAAUAACCAUCUUUAUUUAGUUAUUAAAAUCAAUGAAGAUUUAACGAAAAGUAAUAAGUUCCUUUUUAUUUAAAAAUAUAUCAUGUAACGAACACAAUUUAGAGAAAUAAAGCAAAUUUAUGCGUUA